This 611-nucleotide long non-coding RNA is filed under the name Anas platyrhynchos platyrhynchos (common mallard). RNAcentral's name for it is "lncRNA (ENSAPLG00000026274.1)". Lineage: Eukaryota; Metazoa; Chordata; Aves; Anseriformes; Anatidae. The record is from RNAcentral.
ACUUACCAAGCUUGUCCAGGUCCCUUAGGAUGGUAUCCCUUACUUUUGUUGUAUCAACUGCACCACUCAGCUUGGUGUAAUCUACAAAUAAAGUUUUUAAAAGUUGUCUAAGAGAAUCAAGCUUUUCAAAAGGCAUUUUGAUGUUUUGGGGGUGAAGUGACUGUGGCAGCCAAAUAAUUUUCACUAUCUGUACCUGAAUGAUUGAUAUGGACAGUCAUGGAAAACACCUACCUCAGUGAAUUUUUAUCAGAAAAUUAAUUAUUGGGGAAAAAAACCACCAGUUUAUUUCCCAUUUUCGUUAUAUAAAAAGCCAGAUUCCUAUGUGUUCAUUAUGCUCACUUGUUCUGCUUCAGAGGCUAGAGACUUGUCAUCUUAGCAGUCCAGAUGGAAGGCUCGUCUUGAAGGAUUCUGAGCACGUCUGAUACAGCUGAAAUAAGGCAUCUACUUUGAUCAAGUGAACACCAUUUGAAAGAUCACACAACAGAUAGGAGAAAAUUAUGCAGAAUAACUGGAAAUAAUUGACAGGUAGAUUCAUUUUGCUCCAUACGUGUUUAUACUUUCACUUUUAUGAUCAUAAUAAACUUCCUGGGUUGUCUAGUUGUUCCCUGCUG